GGAUGCCUUGGCAGUCAGAGGCGAUGAAAGACGUGAUAGCCUGCGAAAAGCUCCGGGGAGGCGGCAAAUAUCCUUUGAUCCGGAGAUGUCUGAAUGGGGGAACCCACCUACUUUAAGGUAGGUAUUGCAACAUGAAUACAUAGUGUUGCAAGGCGAACGAGGGGAAGUGAAACAUCUCAGUACCCUUAGGAAAAGAAAUCAAUUGAGAUUCCCUCAGUAGCGGCGAGCGAACGGGGAUCAGCCCAUUAAGUUAUGUGUGUUUUAGUGGAACGCUCUGGGAAGUGCGAACGUAGAGGGUGAUAUUCCCGUACACGAAAGGGCACACAUAAUGAUGACGAGUAGGGCGAGGCACGUGAAACCUUGUCUGAAUAUGGGGGGACCAUCCUCCAAGGCUAAAUACUCCUGACUGACCGAUAGUGAACCAGUACCGUGAGGGAAAGGCGAAAAGAACCCCUGUGAGGGGAGUGAAAUAGAUCCUGAAACCGCAUGCAUACAAGCAGUGGGAGCACCUUCGUGGUGUGACUGCGUACCUUUUGUAUAAUGGGUCAGCGACUUAUAUUCAGUAGCGAGGUUAACCGUAUAGGGGAGCCGUAGAGAAAUCGAGUCUUAAUAGGGCGUUUAGUUGCUGGGUAUAGACCCGAAACCAGGCGAUCUAUCCAUGAGCAGGUUGAAGGUUGGGUAACACUAACUGGAGGACCGAACCCACUGUCGUUGAAAAGCCAGGGGAUGACUUGUGGAUAGGGGUGAAAGGCUAAUCAAGCCUGGUGAUAGCUGGUUCUCCCCGAAAGCUAUUUAGGUAGCGCCUCGGACGAAUACCAUAGGGGGUAGAGCACUGUUUCGGCUAGGGGGUCAUCCCGACUUACCAAACCGAUGCAAACUCCGAAUACCUAUGAGUACUAUCCGGGAGACAGACUGCGGGUGCUAACGUCCGUAGUCAAGAGGAAAACAAUCCAGACCGCCAGCUAAGGCCCCAAAAUCAUAGUUAAGUGGGAAACGAUGUGGGAAGGCAUAGACAGCUAGGAGGUUGGCUUAGAAGCAGCCACCCUUUAAAGAAAGCGUAAUAGCUCACUAGUCGAGUCGGCCUGCGCGGAAGAUGUAACGGGGCUAAAACUAUGUGCCGAAGCUGCGGAUGUAUACUUUGUAUACGUGGUAGGGGAGCGUUCUGUAAGCCGAUGAAGGUGUGUUGAGAAGCAUGCUGGAGGUAUCAGAAGUGCGAAUGCUGACGUGAGUAACGACAAAACGGGUGAAAAACCCGUUCGCCGAAAGACCAAGGGUUCCAGUCCAACGUUAAUCGGGGCUGGGUGAGUCGACCCCUAAGGCGAGGCCGAAAGGCGUAGUCGAUGGGAAAAUGGUUAAUAUUCCAUUACUUCUGUGUAAUGCGAUGAGAGGACGGAGAAGGCUAAAUCAGCCUGGCGUUGGUUGUCCAGGUGAAAGGAUGUAGGCAUGUAUCUUAGGCAAAUCCGGGGUACUCUAUGCUGAGAUCUGAUAGCAAGCUGUACUUGUACAGCGAAGUGGUUGAUGCCAUGCUUCCAGGAAAAGUCUCUAAGCUUCAGUUACACAGGAAUCGUACCCGAAACCGACACAGGUGGUCAGGUCGAGUAGACCAAGGCGCUUGAGAGAACUCUGCUGAAGGAACUAGGCAAAAUGGUACCGUAACUUCGGGAGAAGGUACGCUGUUGUUGGUGAUGGAACUCGCUUCCUGAGCUGACGACAGCCGCAGAAACCAGGCCGCUGCAACUGUUUAUUAAAAACAUAGCACUCUGCAAACACGAAAGUGGACGUAUAGGGUGUGAUGCCUGCCCGGUGCUGGAAGGUUAAUUGAUGGGGUUAGCGUAAGCGAAGCUCUUGAUCGAAGCCCCAGUAAACGGCGGCCGUAACUAUAACGGUCCUAAGGUAGCGAAAUUCCUUGUCGGGUAAGUUCCGACCUGCACGAAUGGCAUAAUGAUGGCGGCGCUGUCUCCAGCAGAGGCUCAGUGAAAUCGAAAUCGCUGUGAAGAUGCAGUGUACCCGCGGCUAGACGGAAAGACCCCGUGAACCUUUACUGCAGCUUGACACUGAACUUUGACCUUACUUGUGUAGGAUAGGUGGGAGGCUUUGAAGCUGGAACGCUAGUUCCAGUGGAGCCGUCCUUGAAAUACCACCCUGGUAAUGUUGAGGUUCUAACUCUGUCCCGUGAUCCGGGACGAGGACCGUGUCUGGUGGGUAGUUUGACUGGGGCGGUCUCCUCCUAAAGAGUAACGGAGGAGUACGAAGGUGCGCUCAGCGUGGUCGGAAAUCACGCGUAGAGUAUAAAGGCAAAAGCGCGCUUAACUGCGAGACCCACAAGUCGAGCAGGUACGAAAGUAGGUCUUAGUGAUCCGGUGGUUCUGUAUGGAAGGGCCAUCGCUCAACGGAUAAAAGGUACUCUGGGGAUAACAGGCUGAUACCGCCCAAGAGUUCAUAUCGACGGCGGUGUUUGGCACCUCGAUGUCGGCUCAUCUCAUCCUGGGGCUGAAGCAGGUCCCAAGGGUAUGGCUGUUCGCCAUUUAAAGAGGUACGCGAGCUGGGUUUAGAACGUCGUGAGACAGUUCGGUCCCUAUCUACCGUGGGCGCUGGAAAUUUGAGAGGAUCUGCUCCUAGUACGAGAGGACCAGAGUGGACGAACCUCUGGUGUACCGGUUGUGACGCCAGUCGCAUCGCCGGGUAGCUAUGUUCGGAAGGGAUAACCGCUGAAAGCAUCUAAGCGGGAAGCCUACCUCAAGAUAAGAUUUCCCUAGGACUUUAUGUCCUCUAAAGAGCCGUUCGAGACUAGGACGUUGAUAGGUUGGAUGUGGAAGCAUAGUGAUAUGUGAAGCUGACCAAUACUAAUUGCUCGUGAGGCUUGACUAUACAACACCCAAGCAGUUG
This 2886-nucleotide ribosomal RNA is filed under the name Acinetobacter baumannii. Its description in RNAcentral is "partial 23S ribosomal RNA". It matches the Rfam family "Bacterial large subunit ribosomal RNA". The record is from RNAcentral. Lineage: Bacteria; Pseudomonadati; Pseudomonadota; Gammaproteobacteria; Moraxellales; Moraxellaceae.